This 73-nucleotide transfer RNA is filed under the name Candidatus Omnitrophota bacterium. RNAcentral's name for it is "Candidatus Omnitrophica bacterium (groundwater metagenome) tRNA-Lys". It matches the Rfam family "tRNA". Rfam says of the family: Transfer RNA (tRNA) molecules are approximately 80 nucleotides in length. Their secondary structure includes four short double-helical elements and three loops (D, anti-codon, and T loops). Lineage: Bacteria; Pseudomonadati; Candidatus Omnitrophota. The record is from RNAcentral.
GGGCUGCUAGCUCAAUUGGUAGAGCAGGGCGCUCUUAACGCCAAGGUUCUGGGUUCGAGCCCCAGGCGGCCCA